Molecule: ribosomal RNA, 541 nt
Filed under: uncultured archaeon
Lineage: Archaea
Description: bacterial SSU rRNA
Rfam family: Archaeal small subunit ribosomal RNA
Source: RNAcentral
CAGCCGCCGCGGUAACACCGGCGGCCCGAGUGGUGAUCGUGAUUAUUGGGUCUAAAGGGUCCGUAGCCGGUUUGGUCAGUCCUCCGGGAAAUCUGAUGGCUCAACCAUUAGGCUUUCGGGGGAUACUGCCAGGCUUGGAACCGGGAGAGGUAAGAGGUACUACAGGGGUAGGAGUGAAAUCUUGUAAUCCCUGUGAGACCACCUGUGGCGAAGGCGUCUUACCAGAACGGGUUCGACGGUGAGGGACGAAAGCUGGGGGCACGAACCGGAUUAGAUACCCGGGUAGUCCCAGCCGUAAACGAUGCUCGCUAGGUGUCAGGCAUGGCGCGACCGUGUCUGGUGCCGCAGGGAAGCCGUGAAGCGAGCCACCUGGGAAGUACGGCCGCAAGGCUGAAACUUAAAGGAAUUGGCGGGGGAGCACAACAACGGGUGGAGCCUGCGGUUUAAUUGGACUCAACGCCGGACAACUCACCGGGGACGACAGCAAUAUGUAGGCCAGGCUGAAGACCUUGCCUGAAUCGCUGAGAGGUGGUGCAUGGCC